GUCACCAUAGGUCAUGAGAAAGCAGUACCAGCAAAGAUAAAAGCAAAUGAGCAGUGACUUUGAAGUGGUAGUUUGGGGGCUGAGACUAUUCUGAUUAUGCUCUUUGGUAAGCUUUGAAAUAUGAGUACUAAAACACCAAACACAGCAAAGAGAGACAGAGAUCCUGAAGGGAUCUGGGAGAAGAAUUGCGGGUCAGAGUUUGUACUCGAGUUGAUGAGCAGAUUGGACUGUAGGAGGUUCAGUUC
Long non-coding RNA from Sinocyclocheilus anshuiensis, 245 nucleotides. RefSeq lists it as uncharacterized. The record is from RefSeq and is a predicted model, not a curated record. The transcript is spliced from 3 exons. NCBI's taxonomy places the organism in Eukaryota, Metazoa, Chordata, Actinopteri, Cypriniformes, Cyprinidae.